AUGCCUACGGGGCGCAGCAGUGAGGAAUAUUGGUCAAUGGGAGAGAUCCUGAACCAGCCAAGCCGCGUGAGGGAAGACGGCCCUAUGGGUUGUAAACCUCUUUUGUCGGAGAACAAAACCCGGGACGUGUCCCGGACUGCGUGUAUCCGAAGAAAAAGCCACGGCUAACUACGUGCCAGCAGCCGCGGUAAUACGUAGGUGGCAAGCGUUAUCCGGAGUUAUUGGGCGUAAAGAGCGCGCAGGUGGUUAAUUAAGUCUGAUGUGAAAGCCCACGGCUUAACCGUGGAGGGUCAUUGGAAACUGGU
This 305-nucleotide ribosomal RNA is filed under the name uncultured bacterium. Its description in RNAcentral is "bacterial SSU rRNA". It matches the Rfam family "Bacterial small subunit ribosomal RNA", at positions 335 to 637 of the family's 1533-position model. The record is from RNAcentral.